UACGGAGGGGGCUAGCGUUAUUCGGAAUUACUGGGCGUAAAGCGCACGUAGGCGGCUUUGUAAGUAAGAGGUGAAAGCCCGGAGCUCAACUCCGGAACUGCCUUUUAGACUGCAUCGCUUGAAUCCAGGAGAGGUGAGUGGAAUUCCGAGUGUAGAGGUGAAAUUCGUAGAUAUUCGGAAGAACACCAGUGGCGGAAGGACGGCGCAC
Molecule: ribosomal RNA, 208 nt
Filed under: uncultured bacterium
Lineage: Bacteria
Description: partial 16S ribosomal RNA
Rfam family: Bacterial small subunit ribosomal RNA
Source: RNAcentral